Long non-coding RNA from Ictalurus punctatus (channel catfish), 1444 nucleotides. RefSeq lists it as uncharacterized. The record is from RefSeq and is a predicted model, not a curated record. The transcript is spliced from 4 exons. NCBI's taxonomy places the organism in Eukaryota, Metazoa, Chordata, Actinopteri, Siluriformes, Ictaluridae.
GUUGUGCUGCACGCAGUGGCAAACAACAUCAGGCUGCGGCAGACGGAGGUUCUGAAGAGGGACUUCGCCAGUUUGAUCAAGACAGUACAAGGCAGAUCACCCACCACGAAGAUCAUCGUCUCUGGACCUCUUCCCUCAUACAGACGUGGAGCUGAAAAGUUCAGUAGACUUCUUGCUUUGAAUGACUGGUUAGUUUCUUGGUGUAAUGCAGGGGUUCCCAAACUUUUCCAGGGCAAGGCCCCCCAAAUGGCAUUAACAUUUGAUCGAAGCCCCCCUUUUGCAAGGUGUCUUUAAAACACAUUAAAAAUACGGACUUCUGAAUAUAUCCCCCUUUUUUUACGUUGAUGUUUUGUCUGUUUAGCAAUUAGAAAGUUAGGUAUAGCAAAUGUGAUUUUAAUAUGUAUUGGUACAAACAACAUGUUUUUAUAUAUUUAUAUAUAUAAAAUGUAUUUAUUUAUUUUUCAAACCAAAUUGUUGGGGCCCCCCUGGCGGCCCCCACUUUGAAAACCAUUGGUGUAAUGAACAGAAUUUGAUGCUUGCUAAUAACUGGAAUCUGUUCUGGGAGCGUCCUAGGUUCUUUCGUCCUGAUGGCCUGCACCCCAGCAGCCUCAGAGCGGAACUGCUGUCAGACAACAUCUCCAAGGUGCUACACACCAAGUGACUGCCUACCCGUGCUUACUUGAAGACAAUGAGGGGGAUCAGCAUCAGAGAGACAGUUCGCUCCAUUCUCCAAAGAAUCGGGGAGAACAGCCUGUGGUGUAUGUUUUCGUUGAAAGGGUCAAAAGGUGGGAAGCUGGCUUUGACUGAUCAUGAAGAAGUGUAUCACCUUGUACACUAUAUUGCAGAAGGAGCCCAUGGACGUGAAUAUACAGUUGCCAGUUGCAGAGAGGCCAUCGGCAGCUACCUAAAAAAUGCCCAGCCAGGAAAGGUGGCAAGAAACAUAAUGUCUAAAGGAGUGAAAACAACUGGAGAGGUUCGAGAACAACUGUGAAAGAUGGUGGAAGGUCGUCAGUGGUCUGUGUUCCCCAGAGGGAAAAAAGUAAGUAAGCAUGAGACUGAUAAAUUUACAGUGAAGUCCAUUGGGCUGAUUCUGUAAGCAGAUCUGGCAACCCUUUCCAUAGUAACUCCAUUUUAAUUAAAAGUUAUUUAUUGAAUGUUUUACACAUAAAAUGUUUUGACGUGUUAAGUUCUAUGACAGUAACUUCUCGGUUUAAUUUAUAAAUUCUAUAUUUUGAGAUCAUUUGCACCAUUUCCCUGCUGCAUUUAAACCCUGUGUCACACACAGUGUAUUUAGUUUGUGUUGGAGCUGCAGUUUGUGUGAUUAGUUACAGUGUUGUAGUAAAUUUCACAGUAAUUUUAGACACAUUGCAGUCGCAUCAAGUCACGUUUUGUGCUGCAGCUUCUCACAUACGUACAUCUGACCCAAAGACUCUGUGACAGAUCA